ACGACCUUACAUGAACAGGAUCUUUCCUAUAGGUUGAACCUCUGUAUUCUUGAUUUCUCAAGAGACAGGCCCUUAACCCUGGUUGAUGAACCGAGACCGUGCGACUAUAGCGUGAUUAACGGCCUCAAUCGUCUCUAAAAUGUAUCUGGUGCUGUAGAGGAUCGUUACUCGGCUUGGUCGGAUCCCAACCGGGGUGGUUGCACGUCCGUCUGAUAGGCC
Molecule: non-coding RNA, 219 nt
Organism: Arabis alpina (gray rockcress)
Lineage: Eukaryota; Viridiplantae; Streptophyta; Magnoliopsida; Brassicales; Brassicaceae
Source: Rfam